AGUCGAGGGGCAGCAUGGUCUUAGCUUGCUAAGGCUGAUGGCGACCGGCGCACGGGUGAGUAACACGUAUCCAACCUGCCGUCUACUCUUGGCCAGCCUUCUGAAAGGAAGAUUAAUCCAGGAUGGGAUCAUGAGUUCACAUGUCCGCAUGAUUAAAGGUAUUUUCCGGUAGACGAUGGGGAUGCGUUCCAUUAGAUAGUAGGCGGGGUAACGACCCACCUAGUCAACGAUGGAUAGGGGUUCUGAGAGGAAGGUCCCCCACAUUGGAACUGAGACACGGUCCAAACUCCUACGGGAGGCAGCAGUGAGGAAUAUUGGUCAAUGGGCGAUGGCCUGAACCAGCCAAGUAGCGUGAAGGAUGACUGCCCUAUGGGUUGUAAACUUCUUUUAUAAAGGAAUAAAGUCGGGUAUGCAUACCCGUUUGCAUGUACUUUAUGAAUAAGGAUCGGCUAACUCCGUGCCAGCAGCCGCGGUAAUACGGAGGAUCCGAGCGUUAUCCGGAUUUAUUGGGUUUAAAGGGAGCGUAGAUGGAUGUUUAAGUCAGUUGUGAAAGUUUGCGGCUC
RNAcentral lists this ribosomal RNA (563 nucleotides) under uncultured bacterium. Its description in RNAcentral is "bacterial SSU rRNA". It matches the Rfam family "Bacterial small subunit ribosomal RNA", at positions 60 to 610 of the family's 1533-position model. The record is from RNAcentral.